Molecule: long non-coding RNA, 260 nt
Organism: Pyrus x bretschneideri (Chinese white pear)
Lineage: Eukaryota; Viridiplantae; Streptophyta; Magnoliopsida; Rosales; Rosaceae
Exons: 2
Source: RefSeq, a predicted model, not a curated record
CCAAAGAUGUGAGCCUACAGAGACUUCCAAUGGUAUACGGUAUAGGCCCAUAGAAAUAGUUGCCAUUUAGAUUGAAGUGGGUGAGAUUUGGAAAUGAGGAAAAGUCGAAAAGGGACAGUGUUCCGUCAAUUUGCAUAUUGGAGAGGUCUAUUUUGGAGACUGUUCUGGUUUUGGAGCAGGAAAUGGCAGUCCAGUUGCAGAGGCUGUUGAGGUUGGUGAGGGACCAUGAAUUGAGUAGCGAAGGUGGCGAUGAUAAUAAU